RNAcentral lists this ribosomal RNA (500 nucleotides) under uncultured Myrionecta. Its description in RNAcentral is "SSU rRNA". It matches the Rfam family "Eukaryotic small subunit ribosomal RNA", at positions 33 to 595 of the family's 1831-position model. The record is from RNAcentral. Lineage: Eukaryota; Ciliophora; Litostomatea; Cyclotrichida; Mesodiniidae.
AAUGUCUCAAGAUAAGCCAUGCACGUCUAAGUACAAACUAAAUGAUGGUGAAACUGCAAAUGGCUCAUUACAACGGUUAUGAUGUACCCGGGAGUUCCGAUGGAUAUUUCCAGUAACACUAGAACUAAUACAUGUCCCUGCGUUUAUUAGUUUCGCACAGUCCGUCGCUGAGUCAUGGUAAACAGUUGAUCGACUCGACGUCCCGGAACAGUUUCCGCCCCAUCAGCUUCGAUGGUUGGGUAUUGGCCUACCAUUGCAACAACGGGUAACGAGGAAUUAGGGUUUGAUUUCGGAGAGGGAGCCUGAGAAACGGCUACCACAUCUACGGAUGGCAGCAGGCGCGCAAAUUACCCAAUGCAGACACUGUGAGGUAGUGACGAGAAAUAAUAAAGCGGGACUUCUGUUUCGCUAUUAUAAUGAGGAAUAACCAAAGGUCAUUCCGAUUAGCAACUGAUGGGAAAGUCUGGUGCCAGCAGCCGCGGUAAUACCAGCGUCAGUAG